UGUCAAAAAAUUCAUCUAUUUUUAUUGUUAAAAAUUGUUCUUUGUACAUCAAAAUAAGGUAUACAUGGCAUGCCAUAUGUAACUAUUUAGUUAUUUCAUUAACCAUGCUAGUUUUUAAUAGUGGAAAUAGAUGAAAUUUUUAAUG
Molecule: microRNA precursor, 145 nt
Filed under: Gossypium arboreum
Lineage: Eukaryota; Viridiplantae; Streptophyta; Magnoliopsida; Malvales; Malvaceae
Description: MIR7502 microRNA precursor family
Rfam family: MIR7502 microRNA precursor family
Source: Rfam by way of RNAcentral